The sequence is a non-coding RNA, 104 nucleotides long. It matches the Rfam family "SAM riboswitch aptamer (S box leader)". From Rfam's summary of the family: The SAM riboswitch is found upstream of a number of genes which code for proteins involved in methionine or cysteine biosynthesis in Gram-positive bacteria. The SAM riboswitch acts at the level of transcription termination control.
AACUUAUCAAGAGAGACUGAGGGACUGGCCCGAUGACGUCCGGCAACCUGCUUUUUGCAAGGUGCUACUUCCAGCAAAAUGGAGUCCAUUUUGGAAGAUAAGGG